AGGAGUGGGAGUAUAUAGAAGGACAUAAGGAUAUUAACAAGGUUGUGAUAAUGGAGGACUACCUGUCCGAUACUGUAAUUGGUAAGUCAAUAUAAAUUCAUUGUAAUCUUUUCCAAAAUACUGUAGACAAUAAGUCCAAAGAAUAUGCAUAAACCAUGGCAAUUGAGGUACUUCUGAUGUUAUUAAUGUGCUUUUUAUUCCAAAAGGUAAACCUGCUCCAGGUGGAUUUUACACGAAUAUUGUUUCACCCAAUUCUGAAACACAAGAGGAAUCUGUAAAUCAAAUUAAUGAUGUAGGAACCUCUGUGAAACGCAAAAAUUCAAUACAGUCUGAGCGUGUAACAUGCAUUUCCUCAGAAGCUCCUUCAGGUGAAGAAGUAACAGACCAUGCAUUUAUUAAGCAGGAACCAACCUCCUGGGAAGAAGGAAAUCUCACAGACAUUUCUACACCCACAAACCAUCCAUGCACUCAUAUUAAGGAGGAAUCAGCCUCAUGGGAAGAAGGGAAUCUCACAGCCAUUUAUACUCCAUCAGAACAUCCACAGAUAGAACAUCCAUCUAUUCAUAUUAAGGAGGAACCAAUCUCAUGGGAAGAAGGGAACCUUACAGAUACUGACAAUUCUACACCCACAGAACAUCCACAGACAGAUGAUACAUCUAGCGUUAUUAAAGGUUAUGUGAAAAGUAAUCCAAAUUCACCAGAAUUUACUUCAAAGGAGUCCAUAAUUGAACCUAAGAAAGUUGAUAAAUUUAUCAUAUAUACAUCGGGUACAUCUCCUCAGACUACAGAAACAAUAUUUAACUUUCCAGUUAGUCUGGAGACUUUUAAUCAUAACUGUAACUUUAAUAGUAAUCAGUCAGUUCACAAUGAAAAGAAGAUGGCACCUUCCGAAAUGGACAAAGUCUUCUUUUCGGGGUCUGACAUAUAUGAGAUUAAUAUCAGAUGUGAUAAACAGUUUUUAUGUUCUCAAUGCGGAAAAAACUUUACUUAUGUGUCUCAUCUUGUUAUGCAUCAGGCAACUCACACAGGAGAAGCAAAAUUUAAAUGUUUUGAAUGUGGAAAAUGUUUUAGCGAGGCCAGAAAACUUGUAUCGCAUAAAAGGGUUCACACCGGAGAAACUCCAUUUAAAUGCAAUGAAUGUGGAAGAUGUUUUACGCAAAAACCAAAUCUUAUUCGGCAUCGAAGGAUUCACACAGGAGAAAAAUCAUUUAAGUGCACUGAAUGUGAGAAAUGUUUUCAUCAAAAGGGUGAUCUGAACAGGCAUCAGAGGAUUCACACAGGAGAAAAACCAUUUAAAUGCCCCGAAUGUGGAAAAGGUUUUAAACACAAGCAUGAUCUAAUGAGGCAUCGGAGAAUUCACAGAGCAAAAAAUUGAUUUAAUGAAUGACAGGAAUAUUUUAAUGUACAGCUCAAAAAAGGAAAAGCACAGAAUGUGAAAAAGAUUUAUAAAGCAAAACUGUUGUCUCUGCAAGUGACAGUGCCUUCUUCCAUUACCCCAUUAAAAACCAUUAAAGCUUUUACUGAGGUUAAAUGGGUUACAGAGGUAAAUAGCUUUUUUAUUGCAUUUCUAUAUUAAGGGGAGACGAUUGUCAUCAGCUGUACAAGCCAAAAUCUGUUUGGUCAUUCCUUUGUUAGUGCCAUUCACACAUAUGAGGUACCAAAGGGGUUAAUUUUCACAAAAUGCCAGACAUGUCAUUUAAAUACAUAAUUAAAGAAAUAAAUGAAAACACCAUAAAGGACAGCCUUUAUUUAGAUGUUGUUUUACAAAAAAAAUCACAUGAUAUGGCGGGGGUAGGCAACCUUCGGCACACCUGCUGUUGUGGCCUACAUCUCCCAUGAUGCUUUGCUGGUAUUAUGGCUGUAAGAGCAUUAUGGUAGAUUUAGUCCACAUCAUCAGGAGUGCCGAAGGUUGCCGAACCAUGUACUAUGUUUUUACAUUACGGUUCUAAAUAAAUGGUUUUGUUCUAAAUAGUAUUCAGUAAAUUCACACAAAUUCAAAACCUAUGAAUGCAUUGAAUAUAGAAACUCUUUCAAGAAAAUGAUGUGCAAAGAGAGAAGGCCGUCUAUCCCUGAUUGUGGGAAGUGUUACACAGGUUGCUCAGAGUCUGACAUCGCAGAAUAAUUUCAUGUAACUCUGUUCAAUGGAGUCCCCCUUUGGUUUGUAUGGCAUUUCAGGCCGUGGCUGAAGUCUAAGUGACCCCUACCCGUACUGCUACUAUUAUACAACCUCAGUGGGAGGACAUGUCACAAGCGAGAACUCUGCUACUUGGACCCCCUUAAUACACAAUCCCCCAAUUGUUAAAAAACCUGUGAAGUUCUAUCAUAACUUUUUUUUAUCUGCCAUCUAAGAUAAAUUAUUAUGUUUAAAUUUGUAUUGCUUUUUAAGAAGUAUAAUAUAAGGGGAAAUACCCCACAAUAAAAAGCUAAUAGUAAUGUAACAGAAUAUAUUUAGUUACUCAGUGCUGUGUUUUGUAGGUGAUACUUUGCCACCUUAAGCAAGAGAUUGGAUGACGC
Molecule: long non-coding RNA, 2514 nt
Filed under: Pelobates cultripes (western spadefoot toad)
Lineage: Eukaryota; Metazoa; Chordata; Amphibia; Anura; Pelobatidae
Source: RNAcentral